Molecule: transfer RNA, 78 nt
Filed under: Actinomycetota bacterium
Lineage: Bacteria; Bacillati; Actinomycetota
Description: tRNA-Pro
Rfam family: tRNA
About the family: Transfer RNA (tRNA) molecules are approximately 80 nucleotides in length. Their secondary structure includes four short double-helical elements and three loops (D, anti-codon, and T loops).
Source: RNAcentral
CGGGACGUGGCGCAGUUUGGUUAGCGCACUGGUCUGGGGGACCAGGGGUCGCCGGUUCAAAUCCGGCCGUCCCGACCA